UACAGAGGUGGCAAGCGUUGUUCGGAAUUACUGGGCGUAAAGGGCGCGUAGGCGGCUUAUCAAGUCAGGCGUGAAAUUCCCGGGCUCAACCUGGGGGCUGCGCUUGAUACUGAUUGGCUUGAAUGCGGGAGAGGAUAGUGGAAUUCCCAGUGUAGAGGUGAAAUUCGUAGAUAUCUGGAGGAAUACCGGUGGCGAAGGCGGCUAUCUGGCCAUGUACUGACACUGAAGCACGAAAGCGUGGGUAGCAAACAGG
This 253-nucleotide ribosomal RNA is filed under the name uncultured bacterium. RNAcentral describes it as "partial 16S ribosomal RNA". It matches the Rfam family "Bacterial small subunit ribosomal RNA", at positions 524 to 776 of the family's 1533-position model. The record is from RNAcentral.